AGAGAGAGACAUGCGCGCAUAUCAAUAAGCGGAGGAAAAGAAACUAACAAGGAUUCCCUUAGUAACGGCGAGUGAAGCGGGAAGAGCUCAAAUUUGAAAUCUUCAAGGUUUUACCUUGACGAAUUGUAGUUUAAAGAAGUGUUUUCUGUUGGAGUUUUGGUAAAAGUUCUUUGGAAUAGGACAUCAUAGAGGGUGAGAAUCCCGUAUUUGGUCAUUCCUCCUAGCGUUGUGAUACACUUUCAAAGAGUCGGAUUGUUUGGGAAUGCAGUCCAAGAUGGGUGGUAAAUUUCAUCUAAAGCUAAAUAUUGGCGAGAGACCGAUAGCGAACAAGUACCGUGAGGGAAAGAUGAAAAGAACUUUGAAAAGAGAGUUAAACAGUACGUGAAAUUGUCAAAAGGGAAGCGUUUGACACCAGUGUUGUUUUUCCGAAAAUCAAUUACGAAUGUUUUGUUUUUGAGGAGUUAUGACUUCAUCGGCUUGCUCCUUUCUUUACGAAACUUUCUUAAUGCACUUUUCGGUUAACAAGUCAACAUCAAUUUCUUUUGUUGUAAAAGGGUAUGAGGAAGGUGGCUUUCUUUUCGGAGAAAGUGUUUAUAGCCUUUUACCUCUGCAAUCGGAGAGAUUGAGGUCUGCAGCGUAGAUCCUUCGGGGUUAGAUACACUUUGUGCUAAGUUAUAGCUUGUCAUAGACAACUUGUUGACUAUGUUUAGUCAUUGUAGCUUACUCGCUUGUGCUAUUUUACCUACGCUUAGGAUGUUGAUCUGUAGUGCGUGCGC
RNAcentral lists this ribosomal RNA (776 nucleotides) under uncultured Neocallimastigales. Its description in RNAcentral is "partial large subunit ribosomal RNA". It matches the Rfam family "Eukaryotic large subunit ribosomal RNA", at positions 23 to 647 of the family's 3401-position model. Lineage: Eukaryota; Fungi; Neocallimastigomycota; Neocallimastigomycetes; Neocallimastigales. The record is from RNAcentral.